GUAAUUCAUGAUAAUUUUUUACUCUAAUUCUGAUAAGUUACCAUGUGAUUGUGGUCUCAUAUUUCUCAAGCCUUUGAAUAAAGCAUCAGCAGAAUCCACUGAUAAAACGCCAGCCAGCAGUUUGCGCCUGCAUAAAUCCCCCCAUUGUGCAGCUUCUGUUUCCUCUCCUGAACUGGACAAGGUAAACAGCAAUGGUCCUCAUAAGCAGUCAGGCAAAGCAAGAACAUCAAGGAAUAAAACGAAGCAGUUUCAAUCAAGACUGUUACAGUCAUCCUCAGUCGCAUCCACAUCUGAUGCACCCUCUUCAUCGGCACCCUGUGCUUUAUUCACCUCUAUAAUGGCCUUAUCAACCUCAUGCCCUCCUGCCCUGUCCUCAUCACCGUCAACACCACCUGCGCCACCCACGUCACCUUCAACCUCGCCUGUGCAGCCCUCAUCACCUUCU
Carassius auratus (goldfish) is the source of this 445-nucleotide long non-coding RNA. RefSeq lists it as uncharacterized. Lineage: Eukaryota; Metazoa; Chordata; Actinopteri; Cypriniformes; Cyprinidae. The record is from RefSeq and is a predicted model, not a curated record. The transcript is spliced from 3 exons.